Molecule: RNA transcript, 1403 nt
Organism: Neofelis nebulosa (Clouded leopard)
Lineage: Eukaryota; Metazoa; Chordata; Mammalia; Carnivora; Felidae
Gene: ALKAL2
Gene name: ALK and LTK ligand 2
Exons: 5
Source: RefSeq, a predicted model, not a curated record
AGGUUAAGAAAGUUGCGCCGAUGUCUCCCGCAGCCAAGUGCGAGCGGAGGUGCUAUUUCUCCCGAAAGUUGGGACGGCGGAGGCAGGACCCGGGGCGGGGGGCGGGGGCGGCGCCCCGAGUCUCAGCUCCCGGCAUCUCCGCGCCGGGGCCUCCGCGGGUCCCGGGGACACCGCGUCCCAGCCGCCGCCGCGGGCUCCCAUCCGCUCGGGGUCCCGGGGGGGCCGCGGCCUCGGGCUCUGCCUGCCCCCCCCCAAACCCCCGCCGACUUUCUUUCCCGCCCCCGCCCCCCACGCCCUGCCCCUGCAGCGCGCCGAUCUCCCUGCGGCCGAGCGAGCGAGCGCACGAUGCGCGGGCCGGGACGCCCCCUGCUCCUGGGGCUGCUGCUGGUGCUGGGGGCGGCGGGGCCCGGGGUCGCUGCGCCCCGGGAGGCGGCCGACGGACAGACUCUGCUGCGGCUCAUCGCGGAGAUCCUGCAGGAGCUCCGGAAGGGCCAGGCGGGCGAGGCCAAGAGGCUGCAGCUCGCGGGCCGCAGGGAGGCCUCGGACUCCGCGCUGGACCCCGAGGAGCAGCGAGUGGAAAUCGUCCCUCGAGAUCUGAGAAUGAAGGACAAGUUCCUAAAACAUCUCACAGGUCCUCUUUAUUUCAGUCCAAAGUGCAGCAAACACUUUCACAGACUGUACCACAACACCAGAGACUGCACCGUCCCUGCAUACUAUAAAAGAUGUGCCAGGCUUCUUACCCGGCUGGCUGUCAGUCCUAUGUGCUUGGAGGGAUAAGCCGUGAGCAGAGGGCAGAGGGACGGCAGCCCAUGAACCAUGAGAAGUGCCUUGGGAACCAACAGGGGACAGAACCUACUACCUUCACGAACACAUCCCCUUGUGAACAAGAGAUUUAUUUUUGCAGACAGACUCUUCCAUAAUUCCUUUAACUUGAGUUGUGUAUGUCGACACUGUUGGCAGAUACGUAUUCAGCAAAUCAGCGUACCUGACGUUAAUACUGGCCACUUGUGAUUCUGGAGAAAAAGAAGGAAGGAUCCACGUUUGAUGAGCAGGGCUACAAAGUGACAGAGAAAGCAAUUUCCUUUUCCUAAUUAGGUGAAAUCUCAAAGAAUAUUUCUUUAGAAACAUAAACAGAAUCCGAAACUAUAUUUUCAUACAGCAUAUGGUAUGAUUUAAUAUUUUUAUUACUUUUACAAUUAAAUUCCCAGAGUAUUAUUUGGAAUUGCAUGAAAACCCACAAAAAAACGUGUCACGUUUUGGAGACAGUGGAGUGUAAAUCUGUGAACAUACCCAGGCUCAUUUCAUUUGUCCUUUGUACAAUAAAUGUAAGAUAGUAUCCAGAUAUUGUGCAAUAUGUAAAUACUGUAAAUGCUGAACCAAGUAAUAAACAGUGUUUAUUAUAA